Molecule: ribosomal RNA, 542 nt
Filed under: uncultured bacterium
Lineage: Bacteria
Description: partial 16S ribosomal RNA
Rfam family: Bacterial small subunit ribosomal RNA
Source: RNAcentral
UGGGGAAUAUUGCACAAUGGGCGAAAGCCUGAUGCAGCAACGCCGCGUGAGUGAUGAAGGUCUUCGGAUUGUAAAGCUCUGUCUUUUGGGACGAUAAUGACGGUACCAAAGGAGGAAGCCACGGCUAACUACGUGCCAGCAGCCGCGGUAAUACGUAGGUGGCGAGCGUUGUCCGGAUUUACUGGGCGUAAAGGGUGCGUAGGCGGAUGUUUAAGUGAGAUGUGAAAUACCCGGGCUUAACUUGGGUGCUGCAUUUCAAACUGGAUACCUAGAGUGCAGGAGAGGAGAAUGGAAUUCCUAGUGUAGCGGUGAAAUGCGUAGAGAUUAGGAAGAACACCAGUGGCGAAGGCGAUUCUCUGGACUGUAACUGACGCUGAGGCACGAAAGCGUGGGUAGCAAACAGGAUUAGAUACCCUGGUAGUCCACGCCGUAAACGAUGAGUACUAGGUGUAGGAGGUAUCGACCCCUUCUGUGCCGCAGUAAACACAUUAAGUACUCCGCCUGGGAAGUACGAUCGCAAGAUUAAAACUCUAAAGUGAAUU